RNAcentral lists this ribosomal RNA (253 nucleotides) under uncultured bacterium. RNAcentral's name for it is "partial 16S ribosomal RNA". It matches the Rfam family "Bacterial small subunit ribosomal RNA", at positions 524 to 776 of the family's 1533-position model. The record is from RNAcentral.
UACGAAGGGUGCAAGCGUUACUCGGAAUUACUGGGCGUAAAGCGUGCGUAGGUGGUUGUUUAAGUCUGCUGUGAAAGCCCUGGGCUCAACCUGGGAAUUGCAGUGGAUACUGGGCGACUAGAGUGUGGUAGUGGACAGUGGAAUUUCCGGUGUAGCAGUGAAAUGCGUAGAGAUCGGAAGGAACAUCUGUGGCGAAGGCGACUGUCUGGGCCAACACUGACACUGAGGCACGAAAGCGUGGGGAGCAAACAGG